Molecule: ribosomal RNA, 202 nt
Filed under: uncultured microorganism
Description: partial 16S ribosomal RNA
Rfam family: Bacterial small subunit ribosomal RNA
Source: RNAcentral
GUGCACCAGGCGAGAAUCUUCGGCAAUGGGCGAAAGCCUGACCGAGCGACGCCGCGUGCGGGAAGAAGGCCUUCGGGUUGUAAACCGCUUUCUCAGGGAACAAUCCCGCUUUAGCGGGAUGAGGGUACCUGAGGAAUAAAGGGGGGGCGGUAAUACACCGUGCCACGCAGCAGCGGUAAGUAACGUGACCCCCGACGCGUUA